This 145-nucleotide long non-coding RNA is filed under the name Dasypus novemcinctus (nine-banded armadillo). Its description in RNAcentral is "FTX transcript, XIST regulator conserved region 3 (ENSDNOG00000036772.1)". It matches the Rfam family "FTX transcript, XIST regulator conserved region 3". Lineage: Eukaryota; Metazoa; Chordata; Mammalia; Cingulata; Dasypodidae. The record is from RNAcentral.
CUUCCCAACUCCCUCACAAGGAUGUCCAUGGCAACGGCUAUUCAUUGUUUCUUUGGUAAACUCAAUGAGCAGGAAGCAGGAAGCCUCAGUGUAACAGGCUAGUCUUAAUGUUGCUCUUGACCAAUGAUAAGGUUUGACUGCCAAG